Molecule: ribosomal RNA, 484 nt
Filed under: uncultured bacterium
Lineage: Bacteria
Description: partial 16S ribosomal RNA
Rfam family: Bacterial small subunit ribosomal RNA
Source: RNAcentral
AUUGAACGCUGGCGGCAUGCCUUACACAUGCCAGUCGAACGGCAGCGCGGACUUCGGUCUGGCGGCGAGUGGCGAACGGGUGAGUAAUACAUCGGAACGUACCCUGUUGUGGGGGAUAGCUAGUCGAAAGAUUAGCUAAUACCGCAUACGACCUGAGGGUGAAAGUGGGGGACCGCAAGGCCUCACGCAGCAGGAGCGGCCGAUGUCUGAUUAGCUAGUUGGUGGGGUAAAGGCCCACCAAGGCGACGAUCAGUAGCUGGUCUGAGAGGACGAUCAGCCACACUGGGACUGAGACACGGCCCAGACUCCUACGGGAGGCAGCAGUGGGGAAUUUUGGACAAUGGGGGCAACCCUGAUCCAGCAAUGCCGCGUGUGUGAAGAAGGCCUUCGGGUUGUAAAGCACUUUUGUCCGGAAAGAAAUCGCGCUGGUUAAUACCUGGCGUGGAUGACGGUACCGGAAGAAUAAGCACCGGCUAACUACGUG